UCCCUCUUAGCUCAGUUGGUAGAGCGCGUCACUAGUACGGUCUGUACGUAAUGACGAGGUCAGUCGUUCAAAUCGGCUAGCGGGAA
Non-coding RNA from Mycena galericulata, 86 nucleotides. The record is from the annotation of a GenBank genome assembly. NCBI's taxonomy places the organism in Eukaryota, Fungi, Basidiomycota, Agaricomycetes, Agaricales, Mycenaceae.